UACGUAGGAGGCAAGCGUUGUCCGGAAUUACUGGGCGUAAAGCGCGUGUAGGUGGUGGGACAAGUCUGCUGUGAAAGCGCCUGGCUUAACCGGGCGAGGUCGGCGGAAACUGUCCGACUCGAGGACGGUAGAGGGGGGUGGAAUUCCCGGUGUAGUGGUGAAAUGCGUAGAGAUCGGGAGGAACACCUGUGGCGAAAGCGGCUUCCUGGUCCAGCACCGACGUUCAGGCACGAAAGCGUGGGGAGCAAACAGG
RNAcentral lists this ribosomal RNA (253 nucleotides) under uncultured bacterium. Its description in RNAcentral is "partial 16S ribosomal RNA". It matches the Rfam family "Bacterial small subunit ribosomal RNA", at positions 524 to 776 of the family's 1533-position model. The record is from RNAcentral.